This 488-nucleotide ribosomal RNA is filed under the name uncultured bacterium. RNAcentral's name for it is "partial 16S ribosomal RNA". It matches the Rfam family "Bacterial small subunit ribosomal RNA", at positions 28 to 507 of the family's 1533-position model. The record is from RNAcentral.
GAUGAACGCUAGCGGCAGGCUUAACACAUGCAAGUCGAGGGGCAGCAUAAUGGGUAGCAAUAUCUAUGGUGGCGACCGGCGCACGGGUGCGUAACGCGUAUGCAACCUACCUUUAACAGGGGGAUAACACUGAGAAAUUGGUACUAAUACCCCAUAAUAUCAUAGAAGGCAUCUUUUAUGGUUGAAAAUUCCGAUGGUUAGAGAUGGGCAUGCGUUGUAUUAGCUAGUUGGUGGGGUAACGGCUCACCAAGGCGACGAUACAUAGGGGGACUGAGAGGUUAACCCCCCACACUGGUACUGAGACACGGACCAGACUCCUACGGGAGGCAGCAGUGAGGAAUAUUGGUCAAUGGACGCAAGUCUGAACCAGCCAUGCCGCGUGCAGGAUGACGGCUCUAUGAGUUGUAAACUGCUUUUGUACGAGGGUAAACGCAGAUACGUGUAUCUGUCUGAAAGUAUCGUACGAAUAAGGAUCGGCUAACUCCGUG